AUUAGCUAGUUGGGGCGGUAACGGCGCACCAAGGCGACGAUGGCUAGGGGGUCUGAGAGGAUGGUCCCCCACACUGGUACUGAGACACGGACCAGACUCCUACGGGAGGCAGCAGUGAGGAAUAUUGGUCAAUGGGCGGAAGCCUGAACCAGCCAUGCCGCGUGCAGGAUGACGGCCCUACGGGUUGUAAACUGCUUUUCCCCGGGAAGAAUAAGCCCCUCGUGAGGGGUGAUGCCGGUACCGGGGGAAUAAGGAUCGGCUAACUCCGUGCCAGCAGCCGCGGUAAUACGGAGGAUCCGAGCGUUAUCCGGAUUUACUGGGUUUAAAGGGUGCGUAGGCGGGCGCCUAAGUCAGCGGUGAAAUGCAGCGGCUCAACCGUUGAACUGCCGUUGAAACUGGGCGCCUUGGAUGCGGUCGAGGCCGGCGGAAUGCGUGGUGUAGCGGUGAAAUGCUUAGAUAUCACGCAGAACGCCAAUUGCGAAGGCAGCUGGCCGGGCCGCAAUCGACGCUGAGGCACGAAAGCGUGGGGAUCAAACAGGAUUAGAUACCCUGGUAGUCCACGCCGUAAAC
This 570-nucleotide ribosomal RNA is filed under the name uncultured bacterium. RNAcentral's name for it is "bacterial SSU rRNA". It matches the Rfam family "Bacterial small subunit ribosomal RNA", at positions 240 to 807 of the family's 1533-position model. The record is from RNAcentral.